AACGAACGCUGGCGGCAUGCCUAACACAUGCAAGUCGAACGAAGACUUCGGCCUUAGUGGCGCACGGGUGCGUAACGCGUGGGAAUCUGCCCUUUGGUUCGGAAUAACAGCUGGAAACGGCUGCUAAUACCGGAUGAUGACGAAAGUCCAAAGAUUUAUCGCCAGAGGAUGAGCCCGCGUUGGAUUAGGUAGUUGGUGGGGUAAAGGCCUACCAAGCCGACGAUCCAUAGCUGGUCUGAGAGGAUGAUCAGCCACACUGGGACUGAGACACGGCCCAGACUCCUACGGGAGGCAGCAGUGGGGAAUAUUGGACAAUGGGCGCAAGCCUGAUCCAGCAAUGCCGCGUGAGUGAUGAAGGCCCUAGGGUUGUAAAGCUCUUUUACCCGGGAAGAUAAUGACGGUACCGGGAGAAUAAGCCCCGGCUAACUCCGUG
RNAcentral lists this ribosomal RNA (433 nucleotides) under uncultured bacterium. RNAcentral describes it as "partial 16S ribosomal RNA". It matches the Rfam family "Bacterial small subunit ribosomal RNA", at positions 29 to 507 of the family's 1533-position model. The record is from RNAcentral.